This 8266-nucleotide long non-coding RNA is filed under the name Gossypium barbadense (sea-island cotton). RNAcentral describes it as "long non-coding RNA (GBAR_LNC000838)". Lineage: Eukaryota; Viridiplantae; Streptophyta; Magnoliopsida; Malvales; Malvaceae. The record is from RNAcentral.
UCAUAUACCAUUUCACCAUAAAAAUUUCAGAAUUUUUAACCCAGCCAAUUAGUACAGUUUAUUCAUUAAACCUUCCCCUGUUUCACUGCCCAACGGUUCUGACCCUUCCUCACUAAAAUUUACUUAACUCUCUGUACAAAAUUUGAAAAAUGGUUUUUCUUGUUUCUAAUAAAAAUAGACUCAAUAAGGAUUCCAGAGAUAUAAAUUUCAUGCCAUAAUUAUUUUUUUACAAUUUUUGGUAAUUUUCCAAAAUUAGAACAGGGGAUCUCGAAAUCAAUCCAGCCCUGUUUCAGUAAAAUUCAGAUAUCUCCAAAAAUACAACUCUUUUGCUUAUUCUAUUUCUUUCAUAUGAAAAUAGACACAUUCAGCUUCAAUUUCAUAUAUUAUUCAACUUCCCAUUCAUUUUCCACCAUUUAUGGUGAUUUUUCAAAGUUACCCAAUUGCUGUUGUUCAACACAGUUUAUAAUUAAAUCGUUCCUUUUGCGUUUUUGAUAUUUUCUCCCAUCUCAUACAUGGGUCGAUUUAGUAUUCAACUCAAUAUUUACCCCAUAAAAUUUUCCACCAUAUGGAAAUAUUCAUCUUCCACACUUUUUCGUUGAACACUUGGAAUGUUAACCGUUAUUGGUGGAUCUCGCACUUAGCACCACCGCUGAAUCGGGGAAUCAGCACUUAGCAACCCCUCGGGGGAAUCAGCACAUAGCAACCCCCUUUCACAUUUCAAAGAUAUGGUGGAUAUCGCACUUAGCACCACCAAUGAACCGGGGAAUCAGCACUUAGCAACCCCUCGGGGGAAUCAGCACAUAGCAACCCCCUUUUCACAUUUCAAAGAUAUGGUGGAUCACGCACAUAGCACCACCAAUGAAUCGGGGAAUCAGCACACAGCAACCCCUUUAUAUACAACAUACUCCGGCUUAUUCCGAGUGUUCAACCCAUAAACCAUAUAUUGCAACCCUUUACCACCUUUCCCGAUUUAACAACAUUUUUAGGAUAUGGCCAAACAUUUAUUUUAAUUCCAAAUAAAUCUCAACAUAUAUCAAAUAAUAUCAAAAUAAUACAUUAAGUCACGUGUUUACUUACCUCGGUGCAAAAUAUCGUAAUUUUGCACUUCACUCCCCUAUCUUUUCUUUUCCCCGUUUGAUAUACUCUUCACGUCUUUCUUGAUCUAUAAUAGCAAAUUUAACUCAUUUAAUGUUCACACUCAUUAAAAUAAUCCACCACCCAACUUUUUGAAAAAUUACAAUUUUGCCCCCAAACUUUUGCGUAAUUACACUUUUGUCCCCAAGCUCGGAAAUUAAACUUCAUCACUUAUUCUUAAGUUUUAUAACAUGCUGAACAUUUUUCCCUUCUAUGGAAACAUCAAAUUCCCACUCCAACACAUACUUUUGAAUAUUAAUUAUUUUUACCGAUUAUGUCUAUUUACCCGUUUUCGCUUAAAAUUGCUUAGCAAAAGUUGUUUAACAUAAUUUAUGGCUUCAUAUUCCACCAUAAAACAGCAAAAUAAACACAUUUCACCUAUGGGUAUUUUUCCAAAUAUGAGCCCUAACACGAAUUAUUGCUAGAAUAAGCUAAACCGAGUUACGAGGAUUCCAAAAAUGCGAAGAACAUUAAAAACGGGGCUAGGAUGCACUUACUAUGAGCUUGAGAAAGCAAAGAAACCUUAGCUAUGGCUUCCUUCAAAUUUCGGCAGCAACUAAUGAGGAAGAUGAUGAUUUUUGUCAUCUUUUUCCCAUUUUAUUUUUUUUAUUACCAAAUGACUAAUAUGCCCCCACUUAAAAAAAUCUAUUUCUCUCAUUUCUUAUGUCUAUUUUUGUCCAUCAACUAACUAAUGGUCUAAUUACCACAUAAAGACCUCCAAUUUAAAAUUUCAUAUCAAUUAGAUACUUCUACAUAUAGAACUCAACUUUUGCACUAUUUACAAUUUAGUCCUUUUGACUAAAUUGAGUGCCCAAACGUCGAAAUUUUCGAACGAAAUUUUUACGAAAACUUUCCGUGAAAUUGUAGAUCAUAAAAAUAUAAUAAUAACCAUAUUUUCCCUCGUCGGAUUUGUGGUCCCGAAACCACUAUUCAGACUAAGCCCAGAAUCGGGCUGUUACAACUCUCCCCCCCUUAGGGAUUUUCGUCCCCGAAAAUCUUACCGGAAAAGAGGUUUGGGUACUGUUUCCUCAUAAUUUCCUCCGGUUCCCACGUAGCCUCUUCCAUUCCAUGUUUUUGCCACAACACUUUCACUAAGGCAACACUUUUAUUUCUUAACUGUUUGACCUCCCGAGCCAAAAUCUUUAUGGGUUCUUCUUCAUAAGUCAUAUCUGGUCGAACCUCAAUCUCUGUAGGGGAAACUAUAUGUGAAGGAUCCGAACGAUAACGUCGCAACAUCGACACAUGAAAUACAUUAUGUAUCUUUUCCAACUCUGGCGGUAAAGCUAACCGAUAUGCUACAGGGCCAACUCUCUCGGUAACUUCAUAUGGUCCAAUAAAACGUGGACUUAGUUUGCCUUUACGACCAAAUCUCAGAAUCUUCUUCCAUGGGGAUACUUUCAAGAACACUUUAUCACCCACUUGAAACUCAAUUUCUUUUCUCUUUAAAUCCGUAUACGACUUUUGCCGAUCUGAGGCAGCUUUUAGGCAAUCACGGAUUAUUUUCACCUUUUCUUCAGUUUCUUUCACCAGGUCGACUCCAUGAAUCCGAUUCUCACCGAGUUCAGUCCAAUAUAAAGGGGUUCUACAUUUACGCCCAUAUAAUGCUUCAUACGGUGCCAUUUGUAUACUUGACUGAUAACUAUUAUUAUAAGCAAAUUCAACCAGUGGUAGAUAUUUCUCCCAACUGUCCUUCAUUUCUAAAAUACAACACCGGAGCAUGUCUUCAAGAACUUGAAUCACCCUUUCUGACUGCCCGUCAGUUUGCGGAUGAAAUGCAGUACUGAAAUUCAAUUUCGUACCCAAAGCUUCCUGUAACUUUAUCCAAAACCUCGAAGUAAAUCUCGGAUCUUUAUCCGAUAUAAUAGAUUUAGGCACCCCAUGUAGUCUCACUAUUUCAGCAAUAUAUAAUUCAGCCAACCUGUCAAGUGAAUAAUCAAUGCGUAUCGGAAUAAAAUGGGCUGACUUUGUCAAUCUAUCCACAAUUACCCAAAUAGCAUCUUUCUUCUUUGGAGUUAAAGGCAAUCCUGUCACGAAAUCCAUCGUGAUACUGUCCCACUUCCAUUCUGGAAUCGUUAUCGGUUGAAGUAAACCCGAUGGCACUUGAUGCUCAGCCUUCACUUGUUGACAGAUUAAACACUUUGAUACAAAUUCCGAGAUAUCCUUUUUUCAUGCCUGGCCACCAAUACAACUUCUUCAAAUCAUUAUACAUUUUCACACUACCCGGAUGAACUGACAAGUCACCACUAUGUGCCUCACAUAAAAUGGUCUGAAUUAACUCAUCAUUUCUUGGUACACAUACUCUAUCCCGGAACAUCAAGCAAUCAUCUGAACCAAUUUGAAAAUCUGAGUCAACACCUGCUUCACACUGAGCUCUCUUGGCUUGCAAUUUACUGUCAUUCUUUUGAGAUUCCCGAAUUUGCUGAAGAAAUAAUGGUCUAGCUCUCAAUUCAACCAACAUUGAGCCAUCAUCAGAUAAAGUUAACAUCGUACCCAUAGCUCUCAAAGCAAAUAAAGAUUUUCUGCUCAAGGCAUCAGCAACCACAUUAGCUUUCCCGGGGUGAUAAUCAAUCACUAGCUCAUAGUCUUUGAUUAGCUCGAGCCAUCUUCGUUGCCGCAAAUUCAAGUCUUUUUGACUCAUCAAAUAUUUCAAACUCUUAUGAUCAGUGAAGAUUCGGCACUUUUCACCAUACAAAUAAUGACGCCAAAUUUUUAAAGCAAAAACAAUGGCAGCCAAUUCUAAAUCAUGCGUCGGAUAAUUCUUCUCAUGCGGUUUCAACUGUCUCGAAGCAUAAGCUAUUACUUUGCCCUCUUGCAUUAACACACACCCAAGACCAUUCAACGAUUCAUCACUGUAAAUUACAAACUCCUUCCCGGACUCAGGUUGCACCAACACUGGCGCCUCAGUCAAUAAUGCCUUCAACUUUUCAAAACUCUGUUGACAUUUAUCGGUCCAUUCAAACUUGACAUUCUUCUGCAGUAACUUAGUCAUAGGAGAAGCAAUCAUCGAGAAUCCCUUGACAAACCGUCUGUAAUACCCAGCUAAGCCCAGGAAGCUUCUAACUUCAGUCACAUUCUUUGGUGGCUCCCAAUCAACAAUUGCUGAAAUUUUGCUUGGAUCAACCCGAAUACCUUCACUUGAAACUAUAUGUCCCAAGAAUCCAACCUCACGAAGCCAAAACUCACUUUUGCUGAAUUUAGCAUACAAUUUCUUUUCUCUCAGAAUCUGCAACACAGUUCUCAAAUGUUCUGCAUGUUCCGAUUCAUCCCGAGAAUAGAUUAAAAUAUCAUCUAUGAACACCACCACGAACUUGUCUAAGUACAGCCGAAAAAUUCGGUUCAUCAAGUCCAUAAAAAUAGCUGGAGCAUUAGUCAACCCAAAAGGCAUUACCAGAAAUUCAUAGUGUCCAUACCUCGUUCUGAAGGCGGUUUUCGGCACAUCAGACUCUUUAACUCUCAACUGAUAGUAACCAGACCUCAGAUCGAUCUUGGAGAACACUGUUGCCCCUUUUAAUUGAUCAAACAAAUCAUCAAUUCUCGGCAAAGGAUACUUGUUCUUUAUGGUCACCUUAUUGAGCUGACGAUAGUCAAUACAAAGUCUCAUAGAGCCGUCCUUUUUUUUUCACAAAUAACACAGGAGCACCCCAAGGAGAAAAACUCGGUCUCACAAAUCCUUUAUCUGUCAACUCUUGUAACUGAGCUUUUAAUUCCUUCAACUCAGUCGGAGCCAUUCGAUACGGUGCAAUAGAAAUCGGUGCAGUACCAGGUAACAGAUCAAUAGAAAACUCAACUUCUCUAAUCGGAGGUAACCCAGGCAAUUCCUCUGGAAAUACAUCUGGAAAUUCACAGACUACCGGCACUGAUUCAAGCUUCGACCCAGUUAUAUCAAUAUUCAACACAUAAGCAAGAUAAACUUCACAUCCCUUUCUCAAGUAUUUCUGAGCAGACAUGUGCGAAAUCACCAUAGGCAACUUAUUCGGCUCCUCUGUUUCAAUCCGGAGAAUUUCACCAUUUUCACACUUUAAUUCAAGAAUUUUCUGUCUACAAUUCACCUUGGCAUCAUGCAAUAUCAACCAAUCCAUCCCCAAAAUAACAUCGAACUCAUCAAAUGGUAACAACAUCAAAUUAGCCAGGAAACAGUGACCUUGAAUCAUCAGGGGGCAAUUCUUGCAAAUCUUAUCAACUAAGACAUACUUGCCUAAUGGAUUUGAUACUUUAACUACAUAUUCAGUGUUUUCAACAGGCAAUUUCUUACUAGAUACCAAUUUCAUGCAUACAUAUGAAUGAGUAGAGCCGGGAUCAAUCAAAGCAAUAACAUCUAUAUCAUGAAGAGAAAAUGUACCAGUAAUCACAUCGGGAGAUGAGGCAUCCUCUCGAGCACGUAUGGCAUAAGUCCUGGCAGGCGCUCUAAUUUCUGAUCCUCCAGCUGCAUCUUUCAUCACACUUUUACCACUGACUUUGCUUCCUACAUUUCUCGGUGGUCUCCCUCUACUAACAAUAUCACCCGAUCUAGCUCUUGGCAAAUUUUCUUCCUCUCUUCUCUCAGGGCAAUCUCUUACGUAAUGCUCUUGGGAACCACACCUGAAACAAGCUCGUUUAAAUCCCCAACACUCACCAAUAUGUCGCCUGCCACACUGUUGACAUUCAGGCCGGGUGUUUCCUACAUUGCCCACACUUGCUACAGAGGUAGCUCGAGUUGUAGCUCCAGAAUACGACCUCCCUCGGUCUCUGCGUGAAUACCCAACUGAACCAGUUGGUCGUGGAUCCAUCCCUUUAAACUUCUUCGAAUGAGAUUGAAAUGUUCUGCCCACUGUCCUCUUCCUUACAUCUCGAGAUUCCAUCUCUGCCCUUCUCUUUUCUCUACUCAGUUCUUCAGCUUUACAGGCCCGAUCAACUAAUACCACAAAUUCUUUUAACUCUAAAAUUCCAACAUGUAAUCUGAUGUCUUCAUUUAGCCCCUCUUCAAAUCUUUUACACAUAAUAGCCUCCGUAGGCACACAUUCCUGGGCAUAUUUACUAAGCCGGACAAACUCCCGUUCAUAUUCUGCUACUGACAUUCGGCCCUGUUUCAAUCCGAGAAACUCUUUGCGCUUCUGAUCAAUAAACCGUUGGCUUACAUAUUUCUUUCUGAAUUCUUCCUGAAAGAAGUCCCAAGUAACUCUUUCUUUUGGAACCACCGUUAUUAAUGUUUUCCACCAACGGUAUGCCGAAUCCUUCAAUAAAGACACAGCACAUUUCAAACAUUCCUCAGGGGUGCAAGAUAAUUCAUCAAAUACCCGAAUAGUAUUUUCAAGCCAAAACUCGGCUUUUUCCGGAUCAUCAUCAACAUUGGCCCUAAAAUCUUCAGCCCCAUGCUUUCGAAUUCUAUCAACAGGUGGCUUACUUGAUCUCACCAAUUCGGCACUCCGUGGAGCUACGGGGACCGGUUGAGGAAUAGGAGGGGGUGGAGGAGGAGGAACAUUCGGAUUUACACGGACAUAUUCUGUAUACCAAUCACUCAUCAUUCGGAGGAAGGCUUCUCGAGCCUCAUCCUGUCCAUGUGUCUCAUGUCUACUCUCUUCAUGCGCGGUCCCUUGUGCGGGAACCGGCGUGUUACUUUCAACAUCAUCUGCCAUACUUCGAUUAGGAUCCAUUUACUAUAUAAAACAAAAUUUUAAAUUGUCAGAAAUCAUCACACUAUCACAAUAAUUUUAUGGCAUGUAUAGACUGACUUCCACACGUAUUUUAUUGGUCCGAGAACCGACUAAACCGUAGCUCUGAUACCACUAAAAUGUAACACCCCUUACCCGUAUUCCUUACCGGAACAGAGUAUGAGGUAUUACUAAAUUUUUAAAAAUUUUCGACAGCAUUCCUACUUAUUUUUGCUUAAACCUCCUGCAAAUUUAGAACACAUUCCAAUAUACCAACCAAUUUCAUUUGUAUAAACACACAUAUAGUUUAACUAUUAAUAAACACUACAUUUAAAAGGGAACCAUAACAUAUAUUUACAUGAUGAUCCCACAUUACAUAAAGUGUCUAUACAUGCCAUAAAAUUUCGGAACACUAGUAGUAAAAUACCCCAAAUGUGAAGGAUAGUGUAGAUGAUUGUCUGACUUCGUUCCAAUUUCCGAGUUGUUGGAAGUCACUAUAACCAAGAGAAAAAUAAAAUCGAGUAAGCAUAUAGCUUAGUAAGUAAACACAUGAUAAAUAAGUAAUUACUCCCAUAACUACACCAAAAUAUAAACUUAUUCAUGAAUAACUUUAUUGUUUAGGCAAUUUCCAGCAAGUUGUUUUUCUGCGUCAUAGUCGCUAAUUUAUUUUUAUCUGGAGCUACAGGGCUCCAAAUUGAGUUUCGUAAAUUUUCCCUGAAACUAGACUCAUAUACCAUUUCACCAUAAAAAUUUCAGAAUUUUUAACCCAGCCAAUUAGUACAGUUUAUUCAUUAAACCUUCCCCUGUUUCACUGCCCAACGGUUCUGACCCUUCCUCACUAAAAUUUACUUAACUCUCUGUACAAAAUUUGAAAAAUGGUUUUUCUUGUUUAUAAUAAAAAUAGACUCAAUAAGGAUUCCAGGGAUAUAAAUUUCAUGCCACAAUUAUUUUUUUACAAUUUUUGGUAAUUUUCCAAAAUUAGAACAGGGGAUCUCGAAAUCAAUCCAGCCCUGUUUCAGUAAAAUUCAGAUAUCUCCAAAAAUACAACUCUUUUGCUUAUUCUAUUUCUUUCAUAUGAAAAUAGACACAUUCAGCUUCAAUUUCAUAUAUUAUUCAACUUCCCAUUCAUUUUCCACCAUUUAUGGUGAUUUUUCAAAGUUACCCAACUGCUGUUGUUCAACACAGUUUAUAAUUAAAUCGUUCCUUUUGCGUUUUUGAUAUUUUCUCCCAUCUCAUACAUGGGUCGAUUUAGUAUUCAACUCAAUAUUUACCCCAUAAAAUUUUCCACCAUAUGGAAAUAUUCAUCUUCCACACUUUUUCGUUGAACACUUGGAAUGUUAACCGUUAUUGGUGGAUCUCGCACUUAGCACCACCGCUGAAUCGGGGAAUCAGCACUUAGCAACCCCUCGGGGGAAUCAGCACAUAGCAACCCCCUUUCACAUUUCAAAGAUAUGGUGGAUAUCGCACUUAGCACCACCAAUGAACCGGGGAAUCAGCACUUAGCA